This 694-nucleotide ribosomal RNA is filed under the name uncultured bacterium. Its description in RNAcentral is "bacterial SSU rRNA". It matches the Rfam family "Bacterial small subunit ribosomal RNA", at positions 32 to 715 of the family's 1533-position model. The record is from RNAcentral.
AACGCUAGCUACAGGCUUAACACAUGCAAGUCGAGGGGCAGCAUGGUCUUAGCUUGCUAAGACUGAUGGCGACCGGCGCACGGGUGAGUAACACGUAUCCAACCUGCCGUCUACUCUUGGACAGCCUUCUGAAAGGAAGAUUAAUACAAGAUGGCAUCAUGAGUCCGCAUGUUCACAUGAUUAAAGGUAUUCCGGUAGACGAUGGGGAUGCGUUCCAUUAGAUAGUAGGCGGGGUAACGGCCCACCUAGUCUUCGAUGGAUAGGGGUUCUGAGAGGAAGGUCCCCCACAUUGGAACUGAGACACGGUUCAAACUCCUACGGGAGGCAGCAGUGAGGAAUAUUGGUCAAUGGGCGAGAGCCUGAACCAGCCAAGUAGCGUGAAGGAUGACUGCCCUAUGGGUUGUAAACUUCUUUUAUAAAGGAAUAAAGUCGGGUAUGGAUACCCGUUUGCAUGUACUUUAUGAAUAAGGAUCGGCUAACUCCGUGCCAGCAGCCGCGGUAAUACGGAGGAUCCGAGCGUUAUCCGGAUUUAUUGGGUUUAAAGGGAGCGUAGAUGGAUGUUUAAGUCAGUUGUGAAAGUUUGCGGCUCAACCGUAAAAUUGCAGUUGAUACUGGAUAUCUUGAGUGCAGUUGAGGCAGGCGGAAUUCGUGGUGUAGCGGUGAAAUGCUUAGAUAUCACGAAGAACUCCGAUUG